RNAcentral lists this ribosomal RNA (117 nucleotides) under Castor canadensis (American beaver). Lineage: Eukaryota; Metazoa; Chordata; Mammalia; Rodentia; Castoridae. The record is from RNAcentral.
AUCUCUGGCCAUACCACCCUGAACGCACCUGAUUUCACCUGAUCUUGAAAGCUAAGCAUGGUUGGUUUGGCUAGUACUUGGAUAGAAGUGAUAACUCCCUCUUUGCCACCAGAAAUC